This 2927-nucleotide ribosomal RNA is filed under the name Salmonella enterica subsp. enterica serovar Bergen str. ST350. Its description in RNAcentral is "bacterial LSU rRNA". It matches the Rfam family "Bacterial large subunit ribosomal RNA". Lineage: Bacteria; Pseudomonadati; Pseudomonadota; Gammaproteobacteria; Enterobacterales; Enterobacteriaceae. The record is from RNAcentral.
GGGUUGUGAGGUUAAGCGACUAAGCGUACACGGUGGAUGCCCUGGCAGUCAGAGGCGAUGAAGGGCGUGCUAAUCUGCGAUAAGCGCCGGUAAGGUGAUAUGAACCGUUAUAACCGGCGAUACCCGAAUGGGGAAACCCAGUGUGACUCGUCACACUAUCAUUAACUGAAUCCAUAGGUUAAUGAGGCGAACCGGGGGAACUGAAACAUCUAAGUACCCCGAGGAAAAGAAAUCAACCGAGAUUCCCCCAGUAGCGGCGAGCGAACGGGGAGGAGCCCAGAGCCUGAAUCAGCAUGUGUGUUAGUGGAAGCGUCUGGAAAGGCGUGCGAUACAGGGUGACAGCCCCGUACACAAAAGCGCAUGUGCUGUGAGCUCGAUGAGUAGGGCGGGACACGUGGUAUCCUGUCUGAAUAUGGGGGGACCAUCCUCCAAGGCUAAAUACUCCUGACUGACCGAUAGUGAACCAGUACCGUGAGGGAAAGGCGAAAAGAACCCCGGCGAGGGGAGUGAAAAAGAACCUGAAACCGUGUACGUACAAGCAGUGGGAGCACCCUUUGGGGUGUGACUGCGUACCUUUUGUAUAAUGGGUCAGCGACUUAUAUUCUGUAGCAAGGUUAACCGCAUAGGGGAGCCGCAGGGAAACCGAGUCUUAACCGGGCGUUAAGUUGCAGGGUAUAGACCCGAAACCCGGUGAUCUAGCCAUGGGCAGGUUGAAGGUUGGGUAACACUAACUGGAGGACCGAACCGACUAAUGUUGAAAAAUUAGCGGAUGACCUGUGGCUGGGGGUGAAAGGCCAAUCAAACCGGGAGAUAGCUGGUUCUCCCCGAAAGCUAUUUAGGUAGCGCCUCGUGAACUCAUCUCCGGGGGUAGAGCACUGUUUCGGCUAGGGGGCCAUCCCGGCUUACCAACCCGAUGCAAACUGCGAAUACCGGAGAAUGUUAUCACGGGAGACACACGGCGGGUGCUAACGUCCGUCGUGAAGAGGGAAACAACCCAGACCGCCAGCUAAGGUCCCAAAGUCAUGGUUAAGUGGGAAACGAUGUGGGAAGGCCCAGACAGCCAGGAUGUUGGCUUAGAAGCAGCCAUCAUUUAAAGAAAGCGUAAUAGCUCACUGGUCGAGUCGGCCUGCGCGGAAGAUGUAACGGGGCUAAACCAUGCACCGAAGCUGCGGCAGCGACGCUGAUGCGUUGUUGGGUAGGGGAGCGUUCUGUAAGCCUGUGAAGGUGGCCUGUGAGGGUUGCUGGAGGUAUCAGAAGUGCGAAUGCUGACAUAAGUAACGAUAAAGCGGGUGAAAAGCCCGCUCGCCGGAAGACCAAGGGUUCCUGUCCAACGUUAAUCGGGGCAGGGUGAGUCGACCCCUAAGGCGAGGCCGAAAGGCGUAGUCGAUGGGAAACGGGUUAAUAUUCCCGUACUUGGUGUUACUGCGAAGGGGGGACGGAGAAGGCUAUGUUGGCCGGGCGACGGUUGUCCCGGUUUAAGCGUGUAGGUGUGUGUUCCAGGUAAAUCCGGUUCACUUUAACACUGAGGCGUGACGACGAGGCACUACGGUGCUGAAGCAACAAAUGCCCUGCUUCCAGGAAAAGCCUCUAAGCAUCAGGUAACAUCAAAUCGUACCCCAAACCGACACAGGUGGUCAGGUAGAGAAUACCAAGGCGCUUGAGAGAACUCGGGUGAAGGAACUAGGCAAAAUGGUGCCGUAACUUCGGGAGAAGGCACGCUGACACGUAGGUGAAGUGAUUUACUCAUGGAGCUGAAGUCAGUCGAAGAUACCAGCUGGCUGCAACUGUUUAUUAAAAACACAGCACUGUGCAAACACGAAAGUGGACGUAUACGGUGUGACGCCUGCCCGGUGCCGGAAGGUUAAUUGAUGGGGUCAGCGCAAGCGAAGCUCCUGAUCGAAGCCCCGGUAAACGGCGGCCGUAACUAUAACGGUCCUAAGGUAGCGAAAUUCCUUGUCGGGUAAGUUCCGACCUGCACGAAUGGCGUAAUGAUGGCCAGGCUGUCUCCACCCGAGACUCAGUGAAAUUGAACUCGCUGUGAAGAUGCAGUGUACCCGCGGCAAGACGGAAAGACCCCGUGAACCUUUACUAUAGCUUGACACUGAACAUUGAGCCUUGAUGUGUAGGAUAGGUGGGAGGCUUUGAAGUGUGGACGCCAGUCUGCAUGGAGCCGACCUUGAAAUACCACCCUUUAAUGUUUGAUGUUCUAACGUGGACCCGUUACCCGGGUUGCGGACAGUGUCUGGUGGGUAGUUUGACUGGGGCGGUCUCCUCCUAAAGAGUAACGGAGGAGCACGAAGGUUGGCUAAUCCUGGUCGGACAUCAGGAGGUUAGUGCAAUGGCAUAAGCCAGCUUGACUGCGAGCGUGACGGCGCGAGCAGGUGCGAAAGCAGGUCAUAGUGAUCCGGUGGUUCUGAAUGGAAGGGCCAUCGCUCAACGGAUAAAAGGUACUCCGGGGAUAACAGGCUGAUACCGCCCAAGAGUUCAUAUCGACGGCGGUGUUUGGCACCUCGAUGUCGGCUCAUCACAUCCUGGGGCUGAAGUAGGUCCCAAGGGUAUGGCUGUUCGCCAUUUAAAGUGGUACGCGAGCUGGGUUUAGAACGUCGUGAGACAGUUCGGUCCCUAUCUGCCGUGGGCGCUGGAGAACUGAGGGGGGCUGCUCCUAGUACGAGAGGACCGGAGUGGACGCAUCACUGGUGUUCGGGUUGUCAUGCCAAUGGCACUGCCCGGUAGCUAAAUGCGGAAGAGAUAAGUGCUGAAAGCAUCUAAGCACGAAACUUGCCCCGAGAUGAGUUCUCCCUGAGACUUAGAGUCUCCUGAAGGAACGUUGAAGACGACGACGUUGAUAGGCCGGGUGUGUAAGCGCAGCGAUGCGUUGAGCUAACCGGUACUAAUGAACCGUGAGGCUUAACCUUACAACGCCGAAG